AUUUAAACAAUUUUUCAAAACAUUUAUAUCUACAUCUUAGUAUAGGUGAUAGAACAGAUUUAUUCUUAGGCACAAUAGAGAGAGUACCGUGAGGGAACGUUGAAAGAUCUAAUCCUGUAAGCAAUAAAAAGCAAAGAUUAAACCUUCUACCUUUUGCAUAAUGAUUUAGCCAGUCUACCCGGACAAAAAGAAUUAAAGCCCGUCUUCCCGAAAUUAAGUGAGCUAUUGUAGAACAGUUGUUAGAACGAACUCGUCUAUGUAGCAAAAUAGUGAGAUGAUUUUACAAUAGAGGUGAAAAGCCUAUCGAACUUAAUGAUAGCUGGUUGUCCAAAAAGCGAAUUUUAGUUCAACUUUAAAUUUAACCCAAGUAUUAAUAAACCAAAUUUAAAUUUAAAAGUUACUCAAAAGGGGGACAACUCUUUUGACAUGUAAACAAACUUGCUUAGUGGGUAAUGAUAUAUACAUAAUACAUUGUAGGCCUAAAAGCAGCCACCAAUUAAGAAAGCGUUAAAGCUCAAACUAGUCUGUUAUUUAAUACCAAUAAUUCAUCAAAACCCCUAAUCCAAUAUUGGACAAUUCUAUUUAUAUUUAGAAGAUAUAAUGCUAAUAUGAGUAACAUGAAUUUAUUCUCCUUGCAUAAGCAUAAAUACGAUCGGAACAACCGCUUACACUUAUACAACCAAAUAAUUAUACCCAUAUACAAGCACCCUAUUACCCUUAUUGUUAACCCAACCCAGGCAUGCAUAAAAGGAAAGAUUAAAAGGAAUAAAAGGAACUCGGCAAACAAAACCCCGCCUGUUUACCAAAAACAUCACCUCUAGCAUUUACCAGUAUUAGAGGCACUGCCUGCCCGGUGAGUUACGACUUUAACGGCCGCGGUAUCCUGACCGUGCAAAGGUAGCAUAAUCACUUGUCUCUUAAUUGGAGACUAGUAUGAAUGGCAUGACGAGGGUUU
Molecule: ribosomal RNA, 955 nt
Filed under: Antechinus vandycki (Tasman Peninsula dusky antechinus)
Lineage: Eukaryota; Metazoa; Chordata; Mammalia; Dasyuromorphia; Dasyuridae
Description: partial 16S ribosomal RNA
Rfam family: Bacterial large subunit ribosomal RNA (bases 129-955)
Source: RNAcentral